This 253-nucleotide ribosomal RNA is filed under the name uncultured bacterium. RNAcentral describes it as "partial 16S ribosomal RNA". It matches the Rfam family "Bacterial small subunit ribosomal RNA", at positions 524 to 776 of the family's 1533-position model. The record is from RNAcentral.
UACAGAGGUCCCAAGCGUUGUUCGGAUUCACUGGGCGUAAAGGGUGCGUAGGUGGUGGGGUAAGUCGGAUGUGAAAGCUCGGAGCUCAACUCCGAAAUGGCAUUGGAAACUACCCUGCUAGAGGAUUGGAGGGGGGACUGGAAUACUUGGUGUAGCAGUGAAAUGCGUAGAUAUCAAGCGGAACACCAGUGGCGAAGGCGAGUCCCUGGACAACACCUGACACUGAGGCACGAAAGCUAGGGGAGCAAACAGG